Molecule: ribosomal RNA, 492 nt
Filed under: uncultured bacterium
Lineage: Bacteria
Description: partial 16S ribosomal RNA
Rfam family: Bacterial small subunit ribosomal RNA
Source: RNAcentral
AGUGAACGCUGGCGGUAGGCCUAAUACAUGCAAGUCGAGCGGACGCACAGUAAGCGUUCGCCUUUACGGGUGGCGAGUGGCGGACGGGUGAGGCAUACAUCGGCAUCUUAUUUUUCGUGGGGGACUUCGUGGGGCCACUUCUGCUACUACCGCAUACGAUCUACGGGUGGAAGCAGGGGAUAUUCGCGCUUUGCGUGAUAGAUUGAGACGAUGUCGGAUUAGCUAGUUGGCGAGGUAAAGGCCCACCAAGGCGACGCUCCGUAGCUGAUCUGAGAGGAUGAUCAGCCACACUGGAACUGAGACACGGUCCAGACUCCUACGGGAGGCAGCAGUGGGGAAUAUUGGACAAUGGGCGCAAGCCUGAUCCAGCCAUACCGCGUGAGUGAAGAAGGCCUUCGGGUUGUAAAACCCUGUUAUUAGGAAAGAAAAUCAGCAUAUGAAUACCCCGCUGUUCUGACGGUACCCAAAGAAUAAGCACCGGCUAACUUCGUG